This 369-nucleotide ribosomal RNA is filed under the name uncultured soil bacterium. RNAcentral's name for it is "bacterial SSU rRNA". It matches the Rfam family "Bacterial small subunit ribosomal RNA", at positions 26 to 391 of the family's 1533-position model. The record is from RNAcentral.
AGAUUGAACGCUAGCGGGAUGCUUUACACAUGCAAGUCGAACGGCAGCGCGGACUUCGGUCUGGCGGCGAGUGGCGAACGGGUGAGUAAUAUAUCGGAACGUGCCCAGUCGUGGGGGAUAACGCAGCGAAAGCUGUGCUAAUACCGCAUACGAUCUCUGGAUGAAAGCGGGGGACUCGCAAGAGCCUCGCGCGAUUGGAGCGGCCGAUAUCAGAUUAGCUAGUUGGUGGGGUAAAAGCUCACCAAGGCGACGAUCUGUAGCUGGUCUGAGAGGACGACCAGCCACACUGGAACUGAGACACGGUCCAGACUCCGUACGGGAGGCAGCAGUGGGGUAAUUUUGGACAAGUGGGCGCAAGCCUGAUCCGAA